Long non-coding RNA from Lagenorhynchus albirostris (white-beaked dolphin), 2457 nucleotides. RefSeq lists it as uncharacterized. The record is from RefSeq and is a predicted model, not a curated record. The transcript is spliced from 4 exons. Lineage: Eukaryota; Metazoa; Chordata; Mammalia; Artiodactyla; Delphinidae.
CUCAGACCUCCAACCCUCGGCCAGCAAAAUAGAAAGCCUUUCUUUCCUGUCCGCCCUCAGGGCUACCAGCAACUACAAGUCGCGACAUCCCGGCCGGGCGAGCAGAGCCCGAAGGGCGGCAGCGCUCACCUGGGCAGGGGCUGGGCUCACGGAGCGGCAUUCAGCUCCCAUCCCCCGUGCGUCCCGGGCUCAGGAAUGCGCGGGGGCGGGGGGCGGCAGGGGGAAAGCCGGGGUGGUACCACCCCCAGGGAGCGGAUGGACUCAGCUCCAGGGAGAUAAUUCCCAUCGGCAGCCCGCAAUGCAGACCCUACCCCACCGCCCGAGUGUGUCCGGGCUUGGAGGAGAGCAGGAGGUGGAAAGGUGGAAGACAAACUGCGUGUGAAUUUAUCUUUUUGGCUGUUACUGAAGUCUUCUGGUAUAAUUUAACCUUCCCAGCAUCCUGUCUUCCAAUCAGAUCAGUGGUUCUCAGCAGAAGGAAUACCAAUCCAAAGAGGACGUUUGGAAAUGUUACAAUGAUUGAGGGCUCUCCUGGCAUUUGGUGGGCAAGAACCUGGAAAGGAAUAUGUCCUGCAACGGGUCCAGCACAAUGGAAAAUUCCCCCCUGUAUUGUGCAAGUAACUGCCGUCCUGCCACAUAAUGAGGGUGAAAAAUCCGUUAAUUAUUACCUAAGACUAGAAUUUCUUCCUUUUACAUACAAGAAUUGUUUGCAACUAAGUUAAUUUUUGCAACGUUGCAAUAAACAUCCUGGUGCAUUUAAGAAAAGAGUCUAAUAUGAACUCCUCCUUCAGAGUUAAACGUUACCCUUCCUUCCACUGGAAAGUCUUCCUGGCUUCUCAGACGGGCUCAUUUCCAGGAGUACACAAGCAGUAGCAUGAACAAGAUAGAAAUUUCCAGGAGGUUCCACUGUCAUCAGGCACCUGGCAUCCUUCUAUGUAACUGUUCCACUGCACUAAUCUAAGAGGUCUGCUCCAGCUCGGGCAUCUGUCUGCAUUCUGAGAAGCGAGGGGAGAGAAAAACACAAGGAAGAGAUCACUUUCAUCCUUUAAGGAGUCUCAGUGGGAGUCUUCACAUAAAAUUUCUACUUAUUAUUAGCCAGAGCUUUGUCACUUGGCCAUGCCUAACCACGAGAAGUGGGGAAGUAUGGAGAUGUUCUCAUCAAUGUGUUGAGUUAAUCAUCAGUGUUCUGUUACCAGAGAAUAAGAAGAAAGUAAAUACUGGGAAGGAUCCAGCAGUUUCUGCCACACUUUCCCAUUGUGUAUCCUUCAGCACCUGCAGUUAUUUUCAACAAGAAGAACCAUCCAGGCACCUAGUUGCUGUGUGACUAGAAAGAGACUCUUACCUUAGUUCUUGGAAGAGCAUCUUAGCUGUUCUCUUUACCUUUGCCCCAUAAUGUCUAUUCUUACAGAGCAGCCAGAGUGAAAUUUUAAAAAUAUGUUUAACAUUAUCAUUCUUCAUUAUAAAACUGUCCAAUGGCAUAUCAUCCCACUCAUCCAACAUCCUUACAAUAGCCUGCAAAGUCCUGCACAAAUUUUCCUCUGGCUACAUCUCUGACUUCAUUGACUUUGAAUUGCCCUCAUGCUCACUGUUCUGCACAUGUAGUCCUUGCUGCUGUUACUUACAUAUUUCACACAUAGUCCUGCUGCAGGGUCUUUUCACUCACUGUUCCUUCUGGCUCCAGGAUAUCCUUUCCUCAGCUUUCUUAUGGUUUAUCAGACAUGACCUUCCCCAACUGCUCUACACAAGAGAAAUUCCCCAAGUCAUUGUCUAGCCCCUUUCACCCUUUUAAUUUUUAUUCAUCUACUGAAACCACCUGCCUUGGCCAGGCACGAUGCUAACCACUUGCAUGAGUUGUCUCACAACAGGAGGCCCUGAUAAGGAACAUGGUGCUGGCAUGGAAAACUCACCAGGAGAAUUCAGGAGGGGCUGAAAGGAGGGAGGAGAUGCCAGCCCAUAAUAUGUCCUACCAGCCUCCCAGAAUCCUUUUGCUAGAAUCCAUCUUGGCUGAGAGAAGCACGCACCACCAGGAAGGACCCUGCUUCAGAGCAAAUCUGAGCCAAGCAAGAUGAUUGGCCAGAGACAACCCAGAAACUACCUCCAUUAUCAUAAAACUUGAGAUUGUGAGCCACGUGGCAGAGCAGUUCUCCUGGUCUCCCUUACCUUGCCGUUCUCCACCUGGGUGCCCCUUCUGAAUAAAGUCUUUUGCUUUGUCAGCAGGUGUGACUUCUCAGACAACCCAUUUCCAAGUUUUAGACAAGAGCCCAGUCUUGGACCUUGGAAGGGGUUUCCCUUCCUGCAACACUUACUCUAUACAUUUUUGUUUGUUUUUAUGAUUUUUGUGGUCUCUUCUUAUCACCAUGUAGUCUUUUCAAGGGUGAGAAUUUCAUCAUAUUUGUUCACAACUCUAUCUAAAAGCAUCAAGAAUAGCAUUUGAUGCACAGAAGGCAUUCAAUAUAUAAU